GCCUUCCUCACCAUAGCUUAGUGGUAAAGAAUCUGUUUUGGAUAAAGAAGGUUCUAGGUUCAAUCUGCAGCAUCCCCAGGUAGGGCU
This is a non-coding RNA of Podarcis lilfordi (Lilford's wall lizard), 87 nucleotides long. The record is from the annotation of a GenBank genome assembly. Lineage: Eukaryota; Metazoa; Chordata; Lepidosauria; Squamata; Lacertidae.